Molecule: non-coding RNA, 115 nt
Organism: Steinernema glaseri
Lineage: Eukaryota; Metazoa; Nematoda; Chromadorea; Rhabditida; Steinernematidae
Source: Rfam
UUCAGAUAUGGCGAUCUGGUUCCUACCGGGACAUACGGUAAAUUGGUCGGAUCCUGCUGUGCCCUUAUCGGAGUGCUAACGCUCGCUCUACCUGUUCCGAUUAUCGUAAGCUUUG